GACGAACGCUGGCGGCGUGCUUAACACAUGCAAGUCGAACGAUGAAGCUAGAGCUUGCUCUGGUGGAUUAGUGGCGAACGGGUGAGUAACACGUGAGUAACCUGCCCCGAACUCUGGGAUAACUGCUGGAAACGGUAGCUAAUACCGGAUAUGACCAAUGACGGCAUCUUCUGUUGGUGGAAAGAAUUUCGGUUCGGGAUGGACUCGCGGCCUAUCAGCUUGUGGGUGAGGUAACGGCUCACCAAGGCGACGACGGGUAGCCGGCCUGCGAGGGAGAUCGGCCACACUGGGACUGAGACACGGCCCAGACUCCUACGGGAGGCAGCAGUGGGGAAUAUUGCACAAUGGGCGCAAGCCUGAUGCAGCAACGCCGCGUGAGGGACGACGGCCUUCGGGUUGUAAACCUCUUUUAGUAGGGAAGAAGCGAAAGUGACGGUACCUGCAGAAAAAGCACCGGCUAACUACGUGCCAGCAGCCGCCGUAA
This 484-nucleotide ribosomal RNA is filed under the name uncultured bacterium. Its description in RNAcentral is "partial 16S ribosomal RNA". It matches the Rfam family "Bacterial small subunit ribosomal RNA", at positions 28 to 523 of the family's 1533-position model. The record is from RNAcentral.